GAUGAACGCUGGCGGCGUGCCUAAUACAUGCAAGUCGAGCGAACAGACGAGAAGCUUGCUUCUCUGAUGUUAGCGGCGGACGGGUGAGUAACACGUGGAUAACCUACCUAUAAGACUGGGAUAACUUCGGGAAACCGGAGCUAAUACCGGAUGAUAUUUUGAACCGCAUGGUUCAAAAGUGAAAGACGGUCUUGCUGUCACUUAUAGAUGGAUCCGCGCUGCAUUAGCUAGUUGGUAAGGUAACGGCUUACCAAGGCAACGAUGCAUAGCCGACCUGAGAGGGUGAGCGGCCACACUGGAACUGAGACACGGUCCAGACUCCUACGGGAGGCAGCAGUAGGGAAUCUUCCGCAAUGGGCGAAAGCCUGACGGAGCAACGCCGCGUGAGUGAUGAAGGUCUUCGGAUCGUAAAACUCUGUUAUUAGGGAAGAACAUAUGUGUAAGUAACUGUGCACAUCUUGACGGUACCUAAUCAGAAAGCCACGGCUAACUACGUG
This 497-nucleotide ribosomal RNA is filed under the name uncultured bacterium. Its description in RNAcentral is "partial 16S ribosomal RNA". It matches the Rfam family "Bacterial small subunit ribosomal RNA", at positions 28 to 507 of the family's 1533-position model. The record is from RNAcentral.